Molecule: long non-coding RNA, 527 nt
Organism: Boleophthalmus pectinirostris (great blue-spotted mudskipper)
Lineage: Eukaryota; Metazoa; Chordata; Actinopteri; Gobiiformes; Gobiidae
Exons: 3
Source: RefSeq, a predicted model, not a curated record
CAGGAGCAGGAAAAGAUAGAUUUUUUUGAGAGAACCCAGUAUUAACACGCAAUAACUGCAAUGGAUACACUUGACGAAAUUACAGUAGACACUUUAAGAGUGUGUUUUAGCUGCCAAUGUUGGGGAAGAAUUACUAUGGUCACGCUCAAGGGAUGACAUUAAAGAUUUGCUGCCAGGUCCAGAAAAUGUUCUCAGGCACAGGGCACUGUGGUUUCUUGUGAACAGUGAUGAAAAGGUUGAAGGUGUUGCCAAAGAUGUGGAGCCAUCAAAACAAUCUGCCAUUGCAAAUAGCCGCUCUCCAGAAGACAGACCCAAUCCCUUAAAGUAUCUAGCCAUGUCCAGCCCAAAGUAUACUGUCUACACAGAUAGUGAACUUGAACAAGCCCGUUCAUCCUACUUUGAACAAAAACGCCUUGGCUCCACCACUUCUGACUUGUCCAAGGAACUCUUCUGCAGACUGAUUAGAAACACCAUGACAAACAUGGUGUCCAUUGCAAGAGCCCUUGAAGACUCAAGGUACCCUUCCA